UUAGCAACUCUUCUUUUUCACGUUUUAAGAAUUCUCUGUUUUAAUUGCCCCACUUCUACAAUUGAACAACACCUCCCCCAAAAAAAAACUAUCGCUCAUCUCCACGGUUUUAAUUUUUUUCUGCAACUAUGAUAUCCAAUUUUCCUCGACCAUACAUAAUUAUAAUCUUUGCUGAUAUACCAAAAUUUUAGAAUUUUUUUAUUAAAUACAGUUUACAGCGAUGAAGACAUUAAUUUUGGCAUUUGUAUUUUGCGGGAGAAUACAAACAACAAGGAACAAGCUAGGGCAUGUAUAGAUGUGUCUUUAUAGUUAUUAGCGUAUACAAAGAACAAAUUGGACGAUAGAUGUGUCUUUCAAUAAUUUCUUAUUUUUUCCUUACAAUGUUUUUUUUUGUCUUUCUGUAUUUGAUG
This is a long non-coding RNA of Arabidopsis thaliana (thale cress), 410 nucleotides long. RefSeq annotates it as other RNA. The record is from RefSeq. Lineage: Eukaryota; Viridiplantae; Streptophyta; Magnoliopsida; Brassicales; Brassicaceae. The transcript is spliced from 2 exons.